This 84-nucleotide transfer RNA is filed under the name Kiritimatiellia bacterium. RNAcentral describes it as "tRNA-Leu". It matches the Rfam family "tRNA". Rfam says of the family: Transfer RNA (tRNA) molecules are approximately 80 nucleotides in length. Lineage: Bacteria; Pseudomonadati; Kiritimatiellota; Kiritimatiellia. The record is from RNAcentral.
GCCUGGGUGGCGGAAUGGCAGACGCAUCGGACUUAAAAUCCGAUGGCCUUAAAGGCCGUAUGGGUUCGACUCCCAUCCCGGGCA